Molecule: ribosomal RNA, 253 nt
Filed under: uncultured bacterium
Lineage: Bacteria
Description: partial 16S ribosomal RNA
Rfam family: Bacterial small subunit ribosomal RNA
Source: RNAcentral
UACGGAGGGGGCAAGCGUUGUCCGGACUUACUGGGCGUAAAGGGUGCGUAGGCGGCCUGCUGCGUCGGUGCUGAAAGCGCCCGGCUUAACCGGGCGAGGCGUGCCGAUACGAGCGGGCUGGAGCCUUGGCGAGGGUGGCGGAACUCCUGGUGUAGUGGUGAAAUGCGUAGAGAUCAGGAAGAACACCCGUGGCGCAAGCGGCCACCUGGCCAAGAGCUGACGCUGAGGCACGAGAGCGUGGGGAGCGAACGGG